GGGCUCGCCCACAAUUUGUUGUGAGUAAUGCCCACCAAGCUAUUACAGUUCGGGCUCUGAGAGGAGUAGCCCGGAGAUGGUACUGAGACACGACACAGGCCCAUGGGGCGCAGCAGGCGAGAAAACUUUGCAAUGUGCGAAAGCACGACAAGGUUAAUCCGAGUGGUUUCUGCUAAAGGAACCUGUCGUCGGUCCUAGAUACACCGAUGAAUAAGGGGUGGUCAAGUUCUGGUGUCAGCCACCGCGGUAAAUCCAGCACCUCAAGUGGUCAGGAUGAUUAUUGGGCCUAAAGCAUCCGUAGCCGGCUCUGUAAGUUUUCGGUUUAAAUCUGUACGCUCAACGUACAGGCUGCCGGGAAUACUGCAGAGCUAGGGAGUGGGAGAGGUAGACGGUACUCGGUAGGAAGGGGUAAAAUCCUUUGAUCUAUUGAUGACCACCUGUGGCGAAGUCGGUCUACCAGAACACGUCCGACGGUGAGGGAUGAAAGCUGGGGGAGCAGACCGGAUUAGAUACCCGGGUAGUCCCAGCUGUAAACUAUGCAAACUCAGUGAUGCAUUGACUUGUGGUCAAUGCAGUGCUGCAGGGAAGCCGUUAAGUUUGCCGCCUGGGAAGUACGUACGCAAGUAUGAAACUCAAAUGAUUGACGG
Molecule: ribosomal RNA, 647 nt
Filed under: uncultured crenarchaeote
Lineage: Archaea; Thermoproteati; Thermoproteota
Description: bacterial SSU rRNA
Rfam family: Archaeal small subunit ribosomal RNA
Source: RNAcentral